Molecule: ribosomal RNA, 721 nt
Filed under: Corynebacterium afermentans
Lineage: Bacteria; Bacillati; Actinomycetota; Actinomycetes; Mycobacteriales; Corynebacteriaceae
Description: bacterial SSU rRNA
Rfam family: Bacterial small subunit ribosomal RNA
Source: RNAcentral
GCAGCGACGCCGCGUGGGGGAUGACGGCCUUCGGGUUGUAAACUCCUUUCGCUAGGGACGAAGCGUAUUUGUGACGGUACCUGGAGAAGAAGCACCGGCUAACUACGUGCCAGCAGCCGCGGUAAUACGUAGGGUGCGAGCGUUGUCCGGAAUUACUGGGCGUAAAGAGCUCGUAGGUGGUUUGUCGCGUCGUUUGUGUAAGCCCGCAGCUUAACUGCGGGACUGCAGGCGAUACGGGCAUAACUUGAGUGCUGUAGGGGAGACUGGAAUUCCUGGUGUAGCGGUGGAAUGCGCAGAUAUCAGGAGGAACACCGAUGGCGAAGGCAGGUCUCUGGGCAGUAACUGACGCUGAGGAGCGAAAGCAUGGGUAGCGAACAGGAUUAGAUACCCUGGUAGUCCAUGCCGUAAACGGUGGGCGCUAGGUGUGAGUCCCUUCCACGGGGUUCGUGCCGUAGCUAACGCAUUAAGCGCCCCGCCUGGGGAGUACGGCCGCAAGGCUAAAACUCAAAGGAAUUGACGGGGGCCCGCACAAGCGGCGGAGCAUGUGGAUUAAUUCGAUGCAACGCGAAGAACCUUACCUGGGCUUGACAUACACCAGAUCGCCGUAGAGAUACGGUUUCCCUUUGUGGUUGGUGUACAGGUGGUGCAUGGUUGUCGUCAGCUCGUGUCGUGAGAUGUUGGGUUAAGUCCCGCAACGAGCGCAACCCUUGUCUUAUGUUGC